RNAcentral lists this signal recognition particle RNA (296 nucleotides) under Neogobius melanostomus (round goby). RNAcentral describes it as "Metazoan signal recognition particle RNA (ENSNMLG00000003728.1)". It matches the Rfam family "Metazoan signal recognition particle RNA". Rfam says of the family: The signal recognition particle (SRP) is a universally conserved ribonucleoprotein. It is involved in the co-translational targeting of proteins to membranes. The record is from Rfam by way of RNAcentral. Lineage: Eukaryota; Metazoa; Chordata; Actinopteri; Gobiiformes; Gobiidae.
GCCGUGGUGCGGUGGCGCGUGCCUGUAAUUCUCAAGUUACCGGGAGGGUUGAGACUGGUGGAUCGUUUGAGCUCAGGAUCUCUGAGGCUACAGUGGACUUGUGAUCGGGUGUCUGCACUAAGUCGGGUUUUACGUAUGUGCUCCUGGGGCUGAGGCCGGACCACCAGGUGUCUAAGGAGGUUGCACGGCCCAGGUCGGGAACGGAGCGGCCAAGCCCCCGUGGCGCUCAGUAGUGGGAUCGCGCCUGUGAAUAGAGGCUGCUAGUGCAGCGAGUAUACAGUGGGACCCAGUCUUUU